UAGGGAAUCUUCGGCAAUGGACGAAAGUCUGACCGAGCAACGCCGCGUGAGUGAAGAAGGUUUUCGGAUCGUAAAACUCUGUUGUUAGAGAAGAACAAGGACGUUAGUAACUGAACGUCCCCUGACGGUAUCUAACCAGAAAGCCACGGCUAACUACGUGCCAGCAGCCGCGGUAAUACGUAGGUGGCAAGCGUUGUCCGGAUUUAUUGGGCGUAAAGCGAGCGCAGGCGGUUUCUUAAGUCUGAUGUGAAAGCCCCCGGCUCAACCGGGGAGGGUCAUUGGAAACUGGGAGACUUGAGUGCAGAAUAGGAGAGUGGAAUUCCAUGUGUAGCGGUGAAAUGCGUAGAUAUAUGGAGGAACACCAGUGGCGAAGGCGGCUCUCUGGUCUGUAACUGAAGCUGAGGCUCGAAAGCGUGGGGAGCAAACAGG
This 429-nucleotide ribosomal RNA is filed under the name Gemmatimonadota bacterium. RNAcentral's name for it is "Gemmatimonadetes bacterium partial 16S ribosomal RNA". It matches the Rfam family "Bacterial small subunit ribosomal RNA", at positions 355 to 776 of the family's 1533-position model. The record is from RNAcentral. Lineage: Bacteria; Pseudomonadati; Gemmatimonadota.